Molecule: ribosomal RNA, 324 nt
Filed under: uncultured bacterium
Lineage: Bacteria
Description: bacterial SSU rRNA
Rfam family: Bacterial small subunit ribosomal RNA
Source: RNAcentral
UACGAACGCUGGCGGCGUGCCUAAUACAUGCAAGUGGAACGCACUUGUCUCACCGGAGCUUGCUCCACCGAGAGAAGUGAGUCGCGAACGGGUGAGUAACGCGUAGGUAACCUGCCUCAUAGCGGGGGAUAACUAUUGGAAACGAUAGCUAAUACCGCAUAAUAGUAUUUACCGCAUGGUAGAUAUUUGAAAGAAGCAAUUGCUUCACUAUGAGAUGGACCUGCGUUGUAUUAGCUAGUUGGUGGGGUAAUGGCCCACCAAGGCCUCGAUACAUAGCCGACCUGAGAGGGUGAUCGGCCACACUGGGACUGAGACACGGCCCAG